GAUGAACGCUGGCGGCGUGCCUAAUACAUGCAAGUCGAGCGAACAGACGAGGAGCUUGCUCCUCUGACGUUAGCGGCGGACGGGUGAGUAACACGUGGAUAUCCUACCUAUAAGACUGGGAUAACUUCGGGAAACCGGAGCUAAUACCGGAUAAUAUAUUGAACCGCAUGGUUCAAUAGUGAAAGACGGUUUUGCUGUCACUUAUAGAUGGAUCCGCGCCGCAUUAGCUAGUUGGUAAGGUAACGGCUUACCAAGGCAACGAUGCGUAGCCGACCUGAGAGGGUGAUCGGCCACACGGAAACUGAGACACGGUCCAGACGCCUACGGGAGGCAGCAGUAGGGAAUCUUCCGCAAUGGGCGAAAGCCUGACGGAGCAACGCCGCGUGAGUGAUGAAGGUCUUCGGAUCGUAAAACUCUGUUAUUAGGGAAGAACAAAUGUGUAAGUAACUAUGCACGUCUUGACGGUACCUAAUCAGAAAGCCACGGCUAACUACGU
This 496-nucleotide ribosomal RNA is filed under the name uncultured bacterium. RNAcentral's name for it is "partial 16S ribosomal RNA". It matches the Rfam family "Bacterial small subunit ribosomal RNA", at positions 28 to 506 of the family's 1533-position model. The record is from RNAcentral.